AUGUUUGGAAAAAAAAUACAUGACACACCCAAUAUGAUAAUGACGCCUGAAGUAUAUGAAAGAGAAGACAAAAAAAUAAAACAUGGUAAAAAGCUUGUUAUUGAAAAUUGUGGAAAAUAUAUGAACAAGGAUAAAAAUGCAGGUGUUGUAUGUAAUAGAAUAAGUGAAUUAAAUAUGAAUUCAAGAAAAAAUAUAUCUUUUGUAAAAACGGAUAGUUCUCAAAUGAAAGAUGUUUUAAAUCAUGCAGAACAUACAGAAAUAGAAAAUAUACCUUCUAAAAGACCUUUAGUUUCUUAUUCAAAAUAUGAUGAUCAACAAAAAUAUUUUGAAACAAAAAUAAUUCCAAAUGAAGAAGGGAAAAUGAGUAUAUAUGUAAAAAGAAAAAAUGGUAGUGCAACUGUAAAUAUUAAUAUCGAUGAAUAUGAUUUAGAAAAAACCUAUCAUACAUGGAAAAGAAUUUUAGGUAAAACAUGUCCUCAUAUUAAAUCGAAUUUAGAAUUUGACAGAUUUUUAACAGUUAAUGAAGAUGCUAAAAGAAGUGAUAAAAUACCAGUCAUUAUUAAUAGAGGUAUACCUAUUGCUAACCCAGAUGGACCUUUUGAAAAAGAAAGAUUAGAUCAACCUGAACAAGCAAGAGAUCAUUUAGAUCGAACAUUAACACCAUUAAAUGAUAAUAAACCUAAAAUCUGUUUAAAGUUAAAUAAUGAUAAAUAUAAACAAUCUAAUGUUUUUCCAAAUUAUUAUCAACAACCUAACAAUAAUAAUACUACUACUGUAUUUGAUGAUAAUAAUAAAUAUAAUAAUAAUGAGGAAAUUAUUUCAAAAAAUAAAAAAUCAGCAAGAACAGUUAACUAUACAUGGAUGAACUCGAAUAGAAUUAAAAAUAUUUUAACUCAUAACUACGAUGAUGAAAUUGAACAAAAAUAUAAAUAUGGUCAUAAUAAUAUUAUUAAAAAAAACGUAAAUAGCCAAGUAAAUAAUAAUAAUCAACAAGUUGAUCGAAAUGUAUACAUUCAACCUGUUAUAACUGGUAAAGUUGGGGAACUUAAUCCAGUUGAACAAGUUCCUACUGAAAUAAAUUAUAACACGUAUAAUGAUUUAUAUAGGGAACAAACUUAUCCAAACAAUACCAAUUUUUUACAAAAUAAUAAAUAUAAUUCGGAGUCUUAUAAAAAUAAUGAACAAUAUAAAAAUGUUGAUUAUUUAAAACCUCAACAAAAUUGUAUUUAUCCAUGUAGUAAUAAUGCUAAUGGCAAUGUUAGUGGUAAUGCUAGUGGUAAUGCUAGUGGUAGUAGUAGUAGUAGUAACGUGGAAAAAAAUAAUUAUGAACAACAAAAUGGAUCAUAUACACAACAUCAACACACAAAUGAUACUCAUCACCAAACGUGUGAUAAAAUAAUGUCACAAUAUGGAUAUAAUCAUGAACAUACACAUUAG
This 1437-nucleotide long non-coding RNA is filed under the name Piliocolobus tephrosceles (Ugandan red Colobus). RNAcentral's name for it is "lncRNA (ENSPTEG00000015904.1)". Lineage: Eukaryota; Metazoa; Chordata; Mammalia; Primates; Cercopithecidae. The record is from RNAcentral.